Long non-coding RNA from Gadus macrocephalus (Pacific cod), 2424 nucleotides. RefSeq lists it as uncharacterized. The transcript has 3 exons. The record is from RefSeq and is a predicted model, not a curated record. Lineage: Eukaryota; Metazoa; Chordata; Actinopteri; Gadiformes; Gadidae.
CGUAUAUUUUUCCAUUGCUACAUUGUUAAAUAAAUAACAUGCAAUUAAUGAAAGCAACAUAAGAAUCGUAAUUAUUUUUUCCAUUUGGGAACCAAGGACAAAAAUACAAUCUAUAAAACAAAUUAAAAUAUUCCCAUAUAUCUCAUCCUCCGAAUGGCCUACGGUCUGAGUAGUCUGACAUAUAGCAUUCUCCUUUCAGAGCCGCUGCCAUAGCAUAUUGUCAUACUGAUAGAUAUUUAGAAGUUAAACCCUUAGUGCAAACCAUGUGAUGCAUAGACCAAACGUCCACCGACAAGCAACCCUAACCCUAACCUCUUUUACUCCUAUCUCACAACAGUACACACCUGUAGGUAAACCUUAAUAAACCAAUACUUAGAAUGACUGACUGCAAAACACAGUAUUCAGGCGGGUUUAUCCUCAGGUGGAAUUUUUCAAUGGUGUCUCUAUGAUUUGUAUCUAGUAGCAGGCCUACUAUAUUGUGAUAUGUUAUAAUCAGUGUCUGAGAAGAUCCCGCUCUGUGACACGGACAUAAAAAAAUCCACAGGAUAUUACGCGUGUUUUCUCUAAAUUACAGAAUUGUUUAAUCAGCAAUGGUGACAAAAUGGCAUAAUUACAAUGUCAACGAUAUUGUGAGACAUAUCCCCAUGUGUAGAUUUACCUUUACCUUUUCACCUUUAGAUCUCCAAAUAAUCCCCAAAAAAUCAUAAAUAAGGUAAUGUCUCCAUAUUAGUCAAGCUUACCUCCCUGAACGAGGACCUCCACCAUGAGGAACACGGCUGUUCGGACCAGAACACCAUUGAGUUCUGCCAUCUUAUUCUUCCUUCGUGCCUCUUGGGUCUCUCAGUCUGCAGCUUGACGACUCAACUUCACUUCAUUGGAACGAUAACAUGAUCUGGGGAGGAAGAAAGGUGUUGUGGUUCCUGUUGCAGGGCCACUCCUCCUCUCCUGUAGUUUGGAUUGGUUUGUUUUUUCCAUUCACCCUUUUGGGUGUGCCAUGUCAAACCGGAUUUACUUUUUGGAAACUGAAUGAGGUCGCCAAACCAACCUGAGUUUGUUUACAAAUAACUCAUUUUUGGAUCAGGUUAUAAUGUAAAAAUGUGUGUAUUCCCUCUACAUGUACUAAACAAUCACAAGACCCUUUGCCUUUGCCCCAGGGCCUAUAAACAAUCAUUGUCAUGAUCUUUCCUUGUCCUUGUGUUGUUUUGGGUUUGUUCCCCCCUUGUCCACCAGAUGUCGCUAGACUGUUCACUCACCUCCCGUCUCCGGCCUGCAUUCAUGGCCUUCCCCUCACCUGUGUGUUCUUGUCCGUCUUCCCACCUUCAACUCAUUCCCCGAUCGCUCUCUCCCCAAUUAUACUGGUUCACCUCCUUUGUUCCUUGCCGGUUCCUCGUGUUCAACCACAAAAUAACAUUGCAACGUUCCCAUGUCAGUUGUGUGUGUAUUUUGGUACAUGUUUUCUUAUGUUCAUGGUGUGGUUAGCAAUAAUACCUAACUACGCCAUUGAUAUCAGUAUCAAUGUAAAUGCAGCAAACCAAAUGAGGCAUAGUAACUAUUAGUUUCUUGUUUUAAUGUGGUGUCAUGUCGUUGCAGCUCCUGUUACUAGAGUGGACAUUGUGCUACUGAACAACACUGUCACCUGUCCUCGCCCGGCUACUGUCCUCCAGAACACAACCGAGGUCCAUGAAGAUGACCAGGGACUCUAUGACAUCAGUGGCUCCUUAAGGACUGUUUACAAUGACACAGAAUCGACAUACAGCUGCUUAGUCCAAAAUGAACAGUGCAAGGAAAGCCACGAUGAGGUUACACCCUCCAAUGGAAAAUCUUUCCAAGAGUGAGGCGUUACUCCCUUGUAACGCCUCGGGGCUCGAUGACAUCACCUGGACCUUCAACCACAACCAGACCAUCCUCAGAAGACAACCAGGACAAGAGGAGGUGGUGGAAACAGAGUGGCAGCAGCAUGUAAGAGACCUGUCUGAAUCAGGCAGCCUCCUGCUGUAUGUGACCUCAUCAGCCCAGAGUGAAGGGACGUACAGGUGUACUCUCAGGUACGCAGACGAAGAAGACGUAACCCACAUUGAACUUAAGAUAUUGGAAGACCCUAUUGUAGAGGGAUCUUCUAGCACAGUUGGGAUCAUUUUAGGAGUCGUGGAUCCCGUUAUCAUUUUAAUCAUCGCCAUCAACAGUUUAUAUAUCAUAUAACCGAUAAAGGUAAAACCACUACUUUCAGCAUUCAUUAAUAACAUGUUUACUACACAUUUUAAUUUUUAUAGAAUUUCUUGAGAAAGGUGGGGAGGUUACUUCUGGGUUAUUUAUGAGUGAUGUGGGACUGUGUAGUUUUACAAAUAGGAUUAUGAAGCUAUUAUUAAUAUAACAUUGUUACUUCUCGGCCAAAGAAGGACGAGGAAGGAGCUCAAACAACCAAAG